UGGCCGGUAGUUCAAUUGGCAGAACGCCUGGUUUUGGACCAGGAGGUUGCAGGUUCGAUACCUGCCCGGCCAGCCA
RNAcentral lists this transfer RNA (76 nucleotides) under Actinomycetes bacterium. Its description in RNAcentral is "Actinobacteria bacterium (marine metagenome) tRNA-Gln". It matches the Rfam family "tRNA". From Rfam's summary of the family: Transfer RNA (tRNA) molecules are approximately 80 nucleotides in length. RNAcentral also lists the same sequence under 3 other names. The record is from RNAcentral. Lineage: Bacteria; Bacillati; Actinomycetota; Actinomycetes.